Molecule: transfer RNA, 69 nt
Filed under: Nasutitermes sp. 1 MLW-2023a
Lineage: Eukaryota; Metazoa; Arthropoda; Insecta; Blattodea; Termitidae
Description: tRNA-Ile
Source: RNAcentral
AAUGAUGAGCCUGAUUAAAGGACUAUCGUGAUAGGAUAAAACAUGUGGUUAAACUAACUACCUUCAUUA